Molecule: ribosomal RNA, 467 nt
Filed under: uncultured bacterium
Lineage: Bacteria
Description: partial 16S ribosomal RNA
Rfam family: Bacterial small subunit ribosomal RNA
Source: RNAcentral
GACGAACGCUGGCGGCGUGCUUAACACAUGCAAGUCGAACGAUGACGCCCGAGCUUGCUCGGUCUGAUUAGUGGCGAACGGGUGAGUAACACGUGAGCAACCUGCCCUUCACUCUGGGAUAACCUCGGGAAAUCGGGGCUAAUACCGGAUAUGAGCUCCUGUCCCAUGGCGGGUGUUGGAAAGUUUUUCGGUGCAGGAUGGGCUCGCGGCCUAUCAGUUUGUUGGUGAGGUAGUGGCUCACCAAGGCGAUGACGGGUAGCCGGCCUGAGAGGGCGACCGGCCACACUGGGACUGAGACACGGCCCAGACUCCUACGGGAGGCAGCAGUGGGGAAUAUUGCACAAUGGGCGAAAGCCUGAUGCAGCGACGCCGCGUGAGGGAUGACGGCCUUCGGGGUGUAAACCUCUUUCAGCAGGGAAGAAGCGAAAGUGACGGUACCUGCAGAAGAAGCGCCGGCUAACUACGUG